GUGGGGAAUAUUGGGCAAUGGGCGCAAGCCUGACCCAGCAACGCCGCGUGAGGGAAGAAGGCUUUCGGGUUGUAAACCUCUGUCCUUGGUGACGAAAAAAAUGACGGUAGCCAAGGAGGAAGCCCCGGCUAACUACGUGCCAGCAGCCGCGGUAAUACGUAGGGGGCGAGCGUUGUCCGGAAUUACUGGGCGUAAAGGGUGCGUAGGUGGCCUUUUAAGUUGGAUGUGAAAUCCCAGGGCUUAACUUGGGUGGUGCAUCUAAUACUGGAGGGCUAGAGUGCAGGAGAGGGAAGCGGAAUUCCUAGUGUAGCGGUGAAAUGCGUAGAUAUUAGGAGGAACACCAGUGGCGAAGGCGGCUUUCUGGACUGUAACUGACACUGAGGCACGAAAGCGUGGGGAGCAAACAGGAUUAGAUACCCUUGUAGUCC
Molecule: ribosomal RNA, 428 nt
Filed under: uncultured bacterium
Lineage: Bacteria
Description: partial 16S ribosomal RNA
Rfam family: Bacterial small subunit ribosomal RNA
Source: RNAcentral